This 84-nucleotide transfer RNA is filed under the name Felis catus (domestic cat). It matches the Rfam family "tRNA". Rfam says of the family: Transfer RNA (tRNA) molecules are approximately 80 nucleotides in length. Their secondary structure includes four short double-helical elements and three loops (D, anti-codon, and T loops). Lineage: Eukaryota; Metazoa; Chordata; Mammalia; Carnivora; Felidae. The record is from Rfam by way of RNAcentral.
GCUCAGUUGGUUGAGCAUCCAAACUCUUGGUCUUGGCUCAGGUCAUGAUCUUAUGGUUUGUGGGUUCAAGUCCCACACUGGGCU